This 630-nucleotide ribosomal RNA is filed under the name uncultured Bacteroidales bacterium. Its description in RNAcentral is "bacterial SSU rRNA". It matches the Rfam family "Bacterial small subunit ribosomal RNA", at positions 89 to 718 of the family's 1533-position model. Lineage: Bacteria; Pseudomonadati; Bacteroidota; Bacteroidia; Bacteroidales. The record is from RNAcentral.
UGGCGACCGGCGCACGGGUGAGUAACACGUAUCCAACCUACCGAUAACUCCGGAAUAGCCUUUCGAAAGAAAGAUUAAUACCGGAUAGCAUACGAAUAUCGCAUGAUAUUUUUAUUAAAGAAUUUCGGUUAUCGAUGGGGAUGCGUUCCAUUAGUUUGUUGGCGGGGUAACGGCCCACCAAGACUACGAUGGAUAGGGGUUCUGAGAGGAAGGUCCCCCACAUUGGAACUGAGACACGGUCCAAACUCCUACGGGAGGCAGCAGUGAGGAAUAUUGGUCAAUGGGCGAGAGCCUGAACCAGCCAAGUAGCGUGAAGGAUGAAGGCUCUAUGGGUCGUAAACUUCUUUUAUAUGGGAAUAAAGUUUUCCACGUGUGGAAUUUUGUAUGUACCAUAUGAAUAAGGAUCGGCUAACUCCGUGCCAGCAGCCGCGGUAAUACGGAGGAUCCGAGCGUUAUCCGGAUUUAUUGGGUUUAAAGGGAGCGUAGGUGGAUUGUUAAGUCAGUUGUGAAAGUUUGCGGCUCAACCGUAAAAUUGCAGUUGAAACUGGCAGUCUUGAGUACAGUAGAGGUGGGCGGAAUUCGUGAUGUAGCGGUGAAAUGCUUAGAUAUCACGAAGAACUCCGAUUGCGA